Molecule: ribosomal RNA, 272 nt
Filed under: uncultured soil bacterium
Lineage: Bacteria
Description: partial 16S ribosomal RNA
Rfam family: Bacterial small subunit ribosomal RNA
Source: RNAcentral
AGGACGAACGCUGGCGGCGUGCUUAACACAUGCAAGUCGAGCGGAAAGGCCCUUCGGGGUACUCGAGCGGCGAACGGGUGAGUAACACGUGAGUAACCUGCCCUGGACUUUGGGAUAACCCUCGGAAACGGGGGCUAAUACCGGAUACGACAUUCCACCGCAUGGUGUGUUUGUGGUAAAGUUUUUCGGUCUGGGAUGGGCUCGCGGCCUAUCAGCGUUGGUUGGGUGGGGUGAUCGGCCUAACCGAAGGCGAACGGACGGGUAGCCCGGCC